RNAcentral lists this transfer RNA (64 nucleotides) under Lagurus lagurus. Its description in RNAcentral is "tRNA-Lys". The record is from RNAcentral. Lineage: Eukaryota; Metazoa; Chordata; Mammalia; Rodentia; Cricetidae.
CAUUACGAAGCUUAAAGCGUCAACCUUUUAAGUUGAAGUUAGAGAUAAACAAUCUCCGUAGUGA